GAUGAACGCUAGCUACAGGCUUAACACAUGCAAGUCGCGGGGCAGCAUGGGGGUUGCUUGCAAUCCCCGAUGGCGACCGGCGCACGGGUGAGUAACGCGUAUCCAACCUGCCCUUCACCACGGGAUAACCCGGCGAAAGUCGGACUAAUACCGUAUGUUGUCCAUUGACGGCAUCCGAUUUGGACGAAAGGCUUGGCGGUGAGGGAUGGGGAUGCGUCCGAUUAGCCAGACGGCGGGGUAACGGCCCACCGGGGCUACGAUCGGUAGGGGUUCUGAGAGGAAGGUCCCCCACACUGGAACUGAGACACGGUCCAGACUCCUACGGGAGGCAGCAGUGAGGAAUAUUGGUCAAUGGGCGUAAGCCUGAACCAGCCAAGUAGCGUGCAGGAUGACGGCCCUAUGGGUUGUAAACUGCUUUUAUGCGGGGAUAAAGUGGCCCACGUGUGGGCUUUUGCAGGUACCGCAUGAAUAAGGACCGGCUAAUUCCGUG
Molecule: ribosomal RNA, 490 nt
Filed under: uncultured bacterium
Lineage: Bacteria
Description: partial 16S ribosomal RNA
Rfam family: Bacterial small subunit ribosomal RNA
Source: RNAcentral